RNAcentral lists this ribosomal RNA (250 nucleotides) under uncultured bacterium. RNAcentral describes it as "partial 16S ribosomal RNA". It matches the Rfam family "Bacterial small subunit ribosomal RNA", at positions 524 to 774 of the family's 1533-position model. The record is from RNAcentral.
UACGGAGGGUGCAAGCGUUAUCCGGAUUCACUGGGUUAAAGGGUGCGUAGGUGGGCUGGUAAGUCAGUGGUGAAAUCUCCAGGCUUAACUUGGAAACUGCCAUUGAUACUAUCAGUCUUGAAUACCGUGGAGGUCAGCGGAAUAUGUCAUGUAGCGGUGAAAUGCUUAGAUAUGACAUAGAACACCAAUUGCGAAGGCAGCUGGCUACACGAAUAUUGACACUGAUGCACGAAAGCGUGGGGAGUCAAAC